RNAcentral lists this small RNA (520 nucleotides) under Pan troglodytes (chimpanzee). RNAcentral's name for it is "processed transcript". The record is from RNAcentral. Lineage: Eukaryota; Metazoa; Chordata; Mammalia; Primates; Hominidae.
UUCUGGAGACUCAACAUGAAGCUACCGGCCAGGGUUUUCUUUACUCUGGGGUCCCGGCUGCCCUGUGGCCUCGCUCCUCGGCGGUCUGAAAAAUGAGUAAAGAUGGAAGCCAAAGUAUCACUUUUAUUGUGGUUUGUGAGAGGAAGCUGGGCCUAUCAGCUGGAUCUCCCGAAGUAGGCGGAUUUAGAUAACUCUGGAGGAGGGCAGAACAUUGCCCUCUGAAGGCAGCUGGCUCCCAAAAGGAAGAAGACCAAGGAGAACUGUUCAUACCCAACGAUCCUGUCAAAAUUUACCAGUCAUAUCAACUGUCUCUGCGCAGACAGAUUGUACCUCAGUCUGUGUUGCUAUAAAGGAAUACCUGAGGCUGGGUAAUUUAUAAAGAAAAGGGUUUGUUUGACUCAUGAUUCUGAUGCCUGGACAAGUUCAAGACUGGGCAUCUGCAUCUGGUGACGGCCUAAGGCUGCUUGCACUUGUGGCAGAAGUUAUGGGACAAAAAUAUUAUAUCAAAACACUGAAGCUU